AUGGGACUAGCUAGACCCGGCGAUACUCGUUGGGGUUCUCAUUUUAAAACCAUUAUGCACAUUGUUAGCAUGUAUUCCACAAUCCUUGAAGUACUUGAUGCUAUUGGAAAAGAUCCUUCACAAAAACGUGAGUGGACAAGAAUACGUGGAGUUGCUCAAGCCAUUGAAUCAUUUGACUUUGUUUUCAAUCUUCACUUGAUGCUUGUUAUUCUUGGCUAUACAAAUGAGUGGUCCAAAUCUUUGCCAAAGAGAGAUCAAGAUAUUGUUAAUGCAAUGGCACUUGUUAGUUUGGCAAAGAGUAGAAUGCAACACUUGAGGUCUCAUGGUUGGGAAGAAUUUCUUGCAAAGCUAACCUUAUUUUGCAACAAACAUGACAUUCAAGUUCCUUUGUGGGAGGAUACUUAUGAGCCUCAUGGAAGAUCACGUCGGCAUUAUGAAGUAUAAACAAAUGAUGAUCGUUAUAGAAGAGAGGUAUAUCUUUGUGUCAUUGAUCAAACCAUUCAAGAGCUUGACAAUCGGUUUGAUGAGGUUAAUACGGAGUUGCUUAUUUGCAUGUCGGCUUUGAACCCAAUCAACUCAUUUGCUUCUUAUGAUGCACUCAAGGUAAUGAGACUUGCCGAAUUCUAUCCCAUGAACAUAUCAAGCACAGAUUUGAUAAGGCUAGAAUUUCAACUUGCUACUUUUAUUGAUGAUAUGAGACAAGAUGAUAGGUUUAGAAAUGCAAGUAAUAUUGGUGAGCUCUCUAUUAUGCUUGUUGCAACAAAGAAGCAUGUUCUUUAUGAUUUGGUCUACUUACUCAUCAAAUUUAUAUUGAUUUUACUGAUGGAGACGACGAGUGUUGAAAGAGUAUUUUCAGCCAUGAAUCUAGUGAAAAGUAAGUUGAGGACUACUAUGAGUGAUGAUCGCUUGAAUGAUUGCUUGGUGACAUUUAUUGAACGAGAUGUGUUCAUGAAAGUAAGUGAAGAUGACAUAGUUGAUGCUUUCAUGGCAAUGCAAAAACGUAGAGUUACCUAG
This 1014-nucleotide ribosomal RNA is filed under the name Triticum aestivum (bread wheat). RNAcentral's name for it is "partial small subunit ribosomal RNA". The record is from RNAcentral. Lineage: Eukaryota; Viridiplantae; Streptophyta; Magnoliopsida; Poales; Poaceae.